RNA transcript from Pristis pectinata (smalltooth sawfish), 900 nucleotides. RefSeq lists it as uncharacterized. The record is from RefSeq and is a predicted model, not a curated record. Lineage: Eukaryota; Metazoa; Chordata; Chondrichthyes; Rhinopristiformes; Pristidae. The transcript is spliced from 3 exons.
UCCUUCUGGGUGUUAUGGAGACCGCCGGCGGCCCUGUGUGUUGCCACGGCGACGGCAUGGGGACGCUGCUGUCGGUGCACGUGAGAAAGACGUGGUGCGUGAGGCCGAGGCGGCGGCGGCGGCGGCGGACAAUGUGGGCCGCUGAGGCAGACACUGCGCGGGGAUGGCCGGUGCAUCCAAUGAGUAACCACUCGCCAGCGAGGAGGCCUGAGAAGUGUUAACUGGCCGACCUGGUGCCCGGCCAAAGGGAAGGGAAGGGGCCCGGAGAGAGUCGAGGCUACCGGCCAGGAUCUUAAUUCUGAUGAUGCUUCGCCCAUUGUUGUAAUGCUGCAGGCUUGUGUGCUGAAGGUUUCCCUGUUUGAAAUGAACUUGCCGUCCGUGGUGGAAGAGAGAAAAGGGAAUGGCCAGGGUGGCAUCCUUGACUAAACUCAGCAACAUACAAAAGCUGGAGGAACUCAAAUGGAUCAGGCAGCAUCUAUUAUGGAGCGAACUGGACAGUCGAUGUGUUGGGUCAAGACCUUCCAACCUUGACUGUACUAUUAGACUUUCUGAAGCAGUGCACCAUGAAGAUGGACUGGAUGGAAGGAAGUGACGAACCUGUGAUGGACUGGGCUGUGUUUACCACUCUCUGCAGGUUCCAUUGGUCCAGAGCAGAGCAGUUGCCAUACCAGACUGAGGUGCAACUGUCAGGAUACUUCCUAUAGUACAUCUGUAAAAGUUUGAGAGAACCCUCAUGGACAAGCUGAAUCUUCUCAGAUGUCUAAGAAAGUACAUAUGCUGAUGCGCUUUCUUGAUCACCACAUCACUAUGGAAAGAUCAGCUUUAGAUUUGGAUCAAGUAUGGAACAUUAGAAGGAACAUACCUUUGGGGCAAUUAAAAACUGCAAAAACUUCAUCUUCU